RNAcentral lists this transfer RNA (77 nucleotides) under Clostridioides difficile. RNAcentral describes it as "tRNA-Val". The stretch from base 9 to 66 matches the Rfam family "tRNA", at positions 8 to 63 of the family's 71-position model. Rfam says of the family: Transfer RNA (tRNA) molecules are approximately 80 nucleotides in length. Their secondary structure includes four short double-helical elements and three loops (D, anti-codon, and T loops). Lineage: Bacteria; Bacillati; Bacillota; Clostridia; Peptostreptococcales; Peptostreptococcaceae. The record is from RNAcentral.
UGGGACCAUAGCUCAGCUGGGAGAGCACCUGCCUUACAAGCAGGGGGUCGUAGGUUCAAGUCCUGCCUCCGCAACCA